ACGGGUGAGUAACGCGUAGGAAUCUACCUGGUAGUGGGGGACAACGUCUCGAAAGGGACGCUAAUACCGCAUACGCCCUACGGGGGAAAGGGGGGGAUCUUCGGACCUUUCGCUAUCAGAUGAGCCUGCGUCGGAUUAGCUAGUUGGUGAGGUAAAGGCUCACCAAGGCGACGAUCCGUAGCUGGUCUGAGAGGAUGAUCAGCCACACCGGAACUGAGACACGGUCCGGACUCCUACGGGAGGCAGCAGUGGGGAAUAUUGGACAAUGGGGGCAACCCUGAUCCAGCCAUGCCGCGUGUGUGAAGAAGGCCUUCGGGUUGUAAAGCACUUUAGGGGGGGAGGAAGGUCCCAAAGCGAAUACCUUUGGGAAUUGACGUUACCCCCAGAAUAAACACCGGCUAACUCCGUGCCAGCAGCCGCGGUAAUACGGAGGGUGCAAGCGUUAAUCGGAAUUACUGGGCGUAAAGCGCGCGUAGGCGGUUAGAUAAGUCGAUUGUGAAAUCCCCGGGCUCAACCUGGGAAUUGCAGUCGAGACUGUCUGACUAGAGUGUGGGAGAGGGUGGUGGAAUUCCCGGUGUAGCGGUGAAAUGCGU
RNAcentral lists this ribosomal RNA (593 nucleotides) under uncultured Gammaproteobacteria bacterium. RNAcentral's name for it is "bacterial SSU rRNA". It matches the Rfam family "Bacterial small subunit ribosomal RNA", at positions 102 to 691 of the family's 1533-position model. Lineage: Bacteria; Pseudomonadati; Pseudomonadota; Gammaproteobacteria. The record is from RNAcentral.